This 1269-nucleotide ribosomal RNA is filed under the name Microbacterium sp. TAD125. RNAcentral describes it as "bacterial SSU rRNA". It matches the Rfam family "Bacterial small subunit ribosomal RNA", at positions 66 to 1345 of the family's 1533-position model. Lineage: Bacteria; Bacillati; Actinomycetota; Actinomycetes; Micrococcales; Microbacteriaceae. The record is from RNAcentral.
ACGGUGAACACGGAGCUUGCUCUGUGGGAUCAGUGGCGAACGGGUGAGUAACACGUGAGCAACCUGCCCCUGACUCUGGGAUAAGCGCUGGAAACGGCGUCUAAUACUGGAUAUGUGACGUGACCGCAUGGUCUGCGUCUGGAAAGAAUUUCGGUUGGGGAUGGGCUCGCGGCCUAUCAGCUUGUUGGUGAGGUAAUGGCUCACCAAGGCGUCGACGGGUAGCCGGCCUGAGAGGGUGACCGGCCACACUGGGACUGAGACACGGCCCAGACUCCUACGGGAGGCAGCAGUGGGGAAUAUUGCACAAUGGGCGCAAGCCUGAUGCAGCAACGCCGCGUGAGGGACGACGGCCUUCGGGUUGUAAACCUCUUUUAGCAGGGAAGAAGCGAAAGUGACGGUACCUGCAGAAAAAGCGCCGGCUAACUACGUGCCAGCAGCCGCGGUAAUACGUAGGGCGCAAGCGUUAUCCGGAAUUAUUGGGCGUAAAGAGCUCGUAGGCGGUUUGUCGCGUCUGCUGUGAAAUCCGGAGGCUCAACCUCCGGCCUGCAGUGGGUACGGGCAGACUAGAGUGCGGUAGGGGAGAUUGGAAUUCCUGGUGUAGCGGUGGAAUGCGCAGAUAUCAGGAGGAACACCGAUGGCGAAGGCAGAUCUCUGGGCCGUAACUGACGCUGAGGAGCGAAAGGGUGGGGAGCAAACAGGCUUAGAUACCCUGGUAGUCCACCCCGUAAACGUUGGGAACUAGUUGUGGGGUCCAUUCCACGGAUUCCGUGACGCAGCUAACGCAUUAAGUUCCCCGCCUGGGGAGUACGGCCGCAAGGCUAAAACUCAAAGGAAUUGACGGGGACCCGCACAAGCGGCGGAGCAUGCGGAUUAAUUCGAUGCAACGCGAAGAACCUUACCAAGGCUUGACAUAUACGAGAACGGGCCAGAAAUGGUCAACUCUUUGGACACUCGUAAACAGGUGGUGCAUGGUUGUCGUCAGCUCGUGUCGUGAGAUGUUGGGUUAAGUCCCGCAACGAGCGCAACCCUCGUUCUAUGUUGCCAGCACGUAAUGGUGGGAACUCAUGGGAUACUGCCGGGGUCAACUCGGAGGAAGGUGGGGAUGACGUCAAAUCAUCAUGCCCCUUAUGUCUUGGGCUUCACGCAUGCUACAAUGGCCGGUACAAAGGGCUGCAAUACCGCGAGGUGGAGCGAAUCCCAAAAAGCCGGUCCCAGUUCGGAUUGAGGUCUGCAACUCGACCUCAUGAAGUCGGAGUCGCUAGUAAUCGC